CAGCAGCCGCGGUAAUACGUAGGGUGCGAGCGUCAAUCGGAAUUACUGGGCGUAAAGCGUGCGCAGGCGGUUGUGUAAGACAGGUGUGAAAUCCCCGGGCUUAACCUGGGAACUGCGCUUGUGACUGCACAGCUAGAGUAUGGCAGAGGGGGGUGGAAUUCCACGUGUAGCAGUGAAAUGCGUAGAGAUGUGGAGGAACACCGAUGGCGAAGGCAGCCCCCUGGGCCAAUACUGACGCUCAUGCACGAAAGCGUGGGGAGCAAACAGGAUUAGAUACCCCCGUAGUCCCUGUCUCUUAUAC
RNAcentral lists this ribosomal RNA (301 nucleotides) under uncultured bacterium. Its description in RNAcentral is "partial 16S ribosomal RNA". It matches the Rfam family "Bacterial small subunit ribosomal RNA", at positions 509 to 807 of the family's 1533-position model. The record is from RNAcentral.